Molecule: transfer RNA, 92 nt
Filed under: Candidatus Saccharimonadota bacterium
Lineage: Bacteria; Candidatus Saccharimonadota
Description: tRNA-Ser
Rfam family: tRNA
About the family: Transfer RNA (tRNA) molecules are approximately 80 nucleotides in length. Their secondary structure includes four short double-helical elements and three loops (D, anti-codon, and T loops).
Source: RNAcentral
GGAGAGGUGGCCGAGUGGUCGAAGGCGCACGCUUGGAAAGCGUGUAUGUGGAUCAAACUGCAUCCAGGGUUCGAACCCCUGUCUCUCCGCCA